Molecule: ribosomal RNA, 465 nt
Filed under: uncultured bacterium
Lineage: Bacteria
Description: partial 16S ribosomal RNA
Rfam family: Bacterial small subunit ribosomal RNA
Source: RNAcentral
GAUGAACGCUGGCGGCGUGCUUAGCACAUGCAAGUCGAACGGAAAGGCUCCUGCUUGCAGGGGUACUCGAGUGGCGAACGGGUGAGUAACACGUGGGUGAUCUGCCCUGCACUUCGGGAUAAGCCUGGGAAACUGGGUCUAAUACCGGAUAGGACGAUGGUUUGGAUGCCAUUGUGGAAAGUUUUUCGGUGUGGGAUGAGCUCGCGGCCUAUCAGCUUGUUGGUGGGGUAAUGGCCUACCAAGGCGUCGACGGGUAGCCGGCCUGAGAGGGUGUACGGCCACAUUGGGACUGAGAUACGGCCCAGACUCCUACGGGAGGCAGCAGUGGGGAAAAUUGCACAAUGGGCGCAAGCCUGAUGCAGCGACGCCGCGUGGGGGAUGACGGCCUUCGGGUUGUAAACUCCUUUCGCUAGGGACGAAGCGCAAGUGACGGUACCUGGAGAAGAAGCACCGGCUAACUACGUG